GAUGGCCUACAUGUUCGUCCACGAUGGCCUCGUGCACCGUCGUUUCCCUGUGGGUCCUAUAGCCGCUGUCCCCUACUUACGACGUGUCGCUGCUGCCCAUCAUAUCCAUCACACGGAUAAAUUCGACGGAGUUCCGUAUGGUUUGUUUUUAGGACCCAAGGAAUUGGAGGAAGUGGAUGGCGAGGAAGAGCUGCAGAAGGAAAUUAAAAAGAGAAGCAAGGUUUACAGAAACUAAAUUAAAUUUUCUUUCAAUAUUAUUAAUAUUUACACACAAGUAACAACAAG
This 285-nucleotide unclassified non-coding RNA is filed under the name Hevea brasiliensis (rubber tree). Lineage: Eukaryota; Viridiplantae; Streptophyta; Magnoliopsida; Malpighiales; Euphorbiaceae. The record is from RNAcentral.